GGAAUAUUGGGCAAUGGAGGAAACUCUGACCCGGCGACGCCGCGUGCGGGAUGAAGGCCUUCGGGUUGUAAACCGCUUUCAGUAGGGAAGAAGCGAAAGUGACGGUACCUACAAAAGAAGCACCGGCUAACUAUGUGCCAGCAGCCGCGGUAAUACAUAGGGUGCAAGCGUUGUCCGGAAUUAUUGGGCGUAAAGAGCUCGUAGGUCGUUUGUUACGUCGGAUGUGAAAACCUGAGGCUCAACCUCAGGCCUGCAUUCGAUACGGGCAAACUAGAGUUUGGUAGGGGAGACUGGAAUUCCUGGUGUAGCGGUGGAAUGCGCAGAUAUCAGGAGGAACACCAAUGGCGAAGGCAGGUCUCUGGGCCAAUACUGACACUGAGGAGCGAAAGUCUGGGGAGCGAACAGGAUUAGAUACCCUGGUAGUCCAGACCGUAAACGGUGGGCACUAGUUGUGGGAACCUUCCACGGUUUCUGCGACGCAGCUAACGCAUUAAGUGCCCCGCCUGGGGAGUACGAUCGCAAGAUUAAAACUCAAAGGAAUUGACGG
RNAcentral lists this ribosomal RNA (547 nucleotides) under uncultured bacterium. Its description in RNAcentral is "bacterial SSU rRNA". It matches the Rfam family "Bacterial small subunit ribosomal RNA", at positions 358 to 916 of the family's 1533-position model. The record is from RNAcentral.